GUAUCGCUGGCGGAGCCGGUACCACGGCGGCGUCGGCGGCGACGCGGGCGCGUCGCUUCGCCAGCGGCGUUCCCGCCGUCGGCGGUGAU
Molecule: transfer RNA, 89 nt
Filed under: Micromonospora phaseoli
Lineage: Bacteria; Bacillati; Actinomycetota; Actinomycetes; Micromonosporales; Micromonosporaceae
Description: tRNA-Ala
Source: RNAcentral